Non-coding RNA from Roseiflexus sp. RS-1, 368 nucleotides. Lineage: Bacteria; Bacillati; Chloroflexota; Chloroflexia; Chloroflexales; Roseiflexaceae. The record is from Rfam.
GGGGAUGACUGGUCUCGACAGGGAAGGAUGUCUCAGGUUGCAAGCCGAGCCGCCCAGUCUCGUUAAAGGGGCAACGGCAUAACUGCCAACACCAACAAAGUCGUCGCCUUCAAGCCGGCGAUGGCUCUGGCUGCCUAAACAAACAGCAGCCCGCUCCCUUGCUCUCACCCCGAUGGAGUAAGUUCGAGCGUCAGCAAGUCGGGGCGCUCCCGGCGAAUGCCUGCGGCGUCGGGCUAAGAUCAGCAGGAUGGCUCAAAGGUCGCUCUGUUCAUCGUGCGACCGCGAGCGACAGCAAACGAUGAACUAAGCUUGUAGACGCCUGAGUCUAACUUUUCUGGACGGGGGUUCGACUCCCCCCAUCUCCACCA